UACGAAGGGGGCUAGCGUUGCUCGGAAUCACUGGGCGUAAAGGGUGCGUAGGCGGGUCUUUAAGUCAGAGGUGAAAUCCUGGAGCUCAACUCCAGAACUGCCUUUGAUACUGAGAAGCUUGAGUCCGGGAGAGGUGAGUGGAACUGCGAGUGUAGAGGUGAAAUUCGUAGAUAUUCGCAAGAACACCAGUGGCGAAGGCGGCUCACUGGCCCGGUACUGACGCUGAGGUGCGAAGGCGUGGGGAGCAAACAGG
Molecule: ribosomal RNA, 253 nt
Filed under: uncultured bacterium
Lineage: Bacteria
Description: partial 16S ribosomal RNA
Rfam family: Bacterial small subunit ribosomal RNA
Source: RNAcentral